CAGCACAGCCACCUUGGCACUGCCCUGGCUCUGGUCCCCUCCUGCAGCACAGCCACCCUGGCACUGCCCUGGCUCUGGUCCCCUCCUGCAGCACAGCCACCCUGGCACUGCCCUGGCUCCUGUUCAAUGAGACCGUAACCCUGGUCCCUUCCUGCCUGGUGCCACGGGCACGCACAGACCCAGUCCCCACUGCACUGGGUGCUGCAUACAGCUGUCCCUGCCACCAGCAGGGUCCGGGCUCAGCUGGGUGCUGCUCUUCAGCUGCCACGGUGCUGGGGAGCAGGGUCCGUGGGUGGGGUGGCACUGUGGCAUGGGGUAACGCUGCCCUCCCUCCGUGCUGUCCCCUGUGCAGGGUGGUGCUGUCGGUCAAUGACAAGUGGCACUACUGCCAGAACUCCGACAUCCUGGUGGGCUCCCGGGCCAUGCGGGACCGGCACCUGCGGCUGCUGGGAUACUGUCUGGUGCAGCUGCCCUACACGGAGCUGGAGAAGGUGAGUGGCAUCGAGGAGGCCAAGCACUACCUGCGGCAGAAGCUGAGGGAGCUGCGCUUCUGAGGGACGGAUCCGGGGGGUGUGGGGGGCCAGGUGGGUGCUGCCAGCCCCUUCCCCUGUGCCGGGGGAUACGGAGCUGCCCCCCAUCCCGGGGGGUCGGGGGAUAUGGAGAUGCUCCCCAUCUUGGGGAGCCAGGCUGUGGGGCCAGGCCGUGGGCACUGCUCCUGCUGUGGGGCUGGGGGAGUGUGAGAUUAUUUAUUGCCGUUAUGGGGGGCCGGGGUGUGACUUGGGGGGUGCCGAGGGUGGGGGGAGUUACUGGGGAAGGUCCCUCAUGGCCCCCCUGCCCUGGCUCUGCCACCUCAGCCUGGUCUGUUGCUGCUGCUGGGCCUGGGCUGGGCACCAGGGCUGUCCCUGUGUCCCCAGCAUGGCCCAGCCAGGACACUGGGGGCUGUCCCUGUGUCCCCAGCACAGCUGCUGGGCCAUGGCACUGGGCCUGGCCCCUCCAGGAUCCCAGGGGCUGUGGUGGAGAAUCUGUGCAGGGCCGGGAGCGGGUGUGCACAUGGGGCUGUUCCCAGGGCCUGGGCCUGGAGGAGGGGGGUGUUAGGGAAAGGGGAACUUUCCAAUAAAACUGGUGAAAAGUGUGCAAAGUCCGGUCUCUUUAUUAGUUGAAGGCAGCGGGGGGGCCCCAGCCCCCAGCCCGGUAGCCCCCAAGGGACUGCUCGGAGCAGGCUCCCCUGGCAGGGGGCUCUCCCAGCACCUCUGCCCUGGGCCCCAUGAUCGGAAUAAAGCUGUUUAUUGCCUUUGAAUUGCCUGAUCC
Molecule: long non-coding RNA, 1308 nt
Filed under: Zonotrichia albicollis (white-throated sparrow)
Lineage: Eukaryota; Metazoa; Chordata; Aves; Passeriformes; Passerellidae
Description: lncRNA (ENSZALG00000005222.1)
Source: RNAcentral